Molecule: ribosomal RNA, 319 nt
Filed under: uncultured eukaryote
Lineage: Eukaryota
Description: partial 18S ribosomal RNA
Rfam family: Eukaryotic small subunit ribosomal RNA
Source: RNAcentral
CUCUUAGAUGUUCUGGGCCGCACGCGCGCUACAAUGGUCUUCGCAAACGGAUGCAUUCUCGAAGGAGAAUGCCAAUCUUGGAAUCUAUGCCUUGGUCGGGACAGUUGCUUGCAAUUUUUCGACUCGAACCAGGAAUUCCUUGUAAUCGUGAUUCAUCACAUCACGAUGAAUACGUCCCUGCCCUUUGUACACACCGCCCGUCGCUCCUACCGAUCGAAGAGUUAGGUGAAUUGUUUUGAUCGAUAAGAUUUGACUAUGGUCAACUCUCGUUGUGAAAUUCUGUGAAUCUGACUGUUUAGAGGAAGGAAAAGUCGUAACA